UGUGAGUGUGUGAGUAUGUGUCUGAGAGUGUGUGAGAGUGUGUGAGUAUGUGUGUGUCAGUGUGUGUGAGUGUGUGUCUGUGAGUGUGUGAGUAUGUGUCUGUGAGUGUGUGUCAGUGUGUGUCUGUAAGUGUGUGAGUAUGUGUCUGUGAGUGUGUGUGUCAGUGAGUGUGUGAGUAUGUGUCAGUGUGUGAGUGUGUGUGUGUCAGUGUGUGUCAGUGUGUGUCUGUGAGUGUGUGAGUAUGUGUCUGUGAGUGUGUGAGUAUGUGUCUGUGAGUGUGUGAGUAUGUGUCAGUGUGUGUGUCAGUGUGUGUC
Pelobates cultripes (western spadefoot toad) is the source of this 314-nucleotide non-coding RNA. Lineage: Eukaryota; Metazoa; Chordata; Amphibia; Anura; Pelobatidae. The record is from the annotation of a GenBank genome assembly.